UUUCCGUAGGUGAACCUGCGGAAGGAUCAUUGUCGAAACCUGCCCAGCAGAACGACCCGCGAACUUGUAUAAACAACCGGGGGCGGGGGGCGUUCUCGCCCCGUGCCCCCGAACGGCGGGGAGACACUCGUGCCUUCUGGCCGAACAACGAACCCCGGCGCAGUCUGCGCCAAGGAACUUCAACUAAAGAGUGCCUCCGGUCGCCUCGGAAACGGCGUGCGUGCCGGGGGCGAAUCUUGUGCAAAACCAUAACGACUCUCGGCAACGGAUAUCUCGGCUCUC
Molecule: unclassified non-coding RNA, 282 nt
Filed under: plant metagenome
Description: partial contains small subunit ribosomal RNA, internal transcribed spacer 1, and 5.8S ribosomal RNA
Source: RNAcentral